Molecule: long non-coding RNA, 702 nt
Organism: Oncorhynchus masou masou (cherry salmon)
Lineage: Eukaryota; Metazoa; Chordata; Actinopteri; Salmoniformes; Salmonidae
Exons: 4
Source: RefSeq, a predicted model, not a curated record
AGAGGCGCUGAAGAGAACAGACACAGAGCUACAGAAAGCAUGCUUGGUGGAGGCGGUGCGUAUCCUGGACGGUGUGUGUGUGGGGGAUGCAGGGUGUGUGUAUCGUGCGUUCCCGUGUGUUAAGUCACUGUUCGGCCGUCUGAACUCUGACCUGUCCUGCAGCAGAGUCCUCCUGCCCAUUGCUCAGUUCUACCUGAACCACGGGGAGACUGCAGCGGUGGACAGUGAGUGUGUGUGGAGGUGUGUGUUUGGUGUUCUCCCAGCAGAGUGUUUCAACGACCCCUAUCUGGCCCACGAGACGCUGUCCUUCAUCAGAGCCAAUCAGCUGCAGCUCCACUCCUCUGUACCACUGUACACGCACUACUUCCCUAGCCUGCUCAAGUUCCUAGCGUGGGACAGUCCAGGCCUGGUAUCUGACUAUGUGAUGUGUUGUAGUUCCUAGCCGUGGGACAGUCCAGGCCUGGUAUCUGAAAAUGUGUUGUAGUUCCUAGUGUGGGACAGUCCAGGCCUGGUAUCUGACGAUGUGUUGUAGUUCCUAGCGUUGGACAGUCCAGGCCUGGUAUCUGAAUAUGUGAUAUGUUGUAGUUCCUAGCGUGGGACAGUCCAGGCCUGGUAUCUGACUAUUUGAUGUGUUGUAGUUCCUAGCGCGGGACAGUCCAGGCCUGGUAUCUGACUAUAUGAUGUGUUGUCGUUCCUAGCGUG